Molecule: small nucleolar RNA, 219 nt
Organism: Syngnathoides biaculeatus (alligator pipefish)
Lineage: Eukaryota; Metazoa; Chordata; Actinopteri; Syngnathiformes; Syngnathidae
Product: small nucleolar RNA SNORA73 family
Exons: 1
Source: RefSeq, a predicted model, not a curated record
CCGACGUGGACAUCCAGUGAGUUCGUCUCCUGGCUCUGUUUUGGUGGCGUAUGGGAGCAUAGCCUUGGGCUAAGACGUACAUUCCCGUUCCACUCCGUCGAAGAAAAAGUUCCGUCCCCGACUUCCCGGUCGGUGAGGACGAACGUCCUGUAUAUUCCUAAACCUUCCCAGAGUCCUUUGGGGCCAUUACUGGGGAGGCAAACCAUGCAGUGCACAUUU